This is a long non-coding RNA of Neofelis nebulosa (Clouded leopard), 429 nucleotides long. RefSeq lists it as uncharacterized. The record is from RefSeq and is a predicted model, not a curated record. Lineage: Eukaryota; Metazoa; Chordata; Mammalia; Carnivora; Felidae. The transcript has 3 exons.
GCCUGCUUGACAAUGAAGAAGAGUUGGUGUCUCAGUCUGAGCCUAAAGGCAUGAAAAAGCUGAUGUCUCAGAUCAUCAGACAGGAAGAAUUCAUUCUUACUCUGGGACUGUGAGGCACGAUUCACAAUAGCCAAGACAUGGAUACAACCUAAGUGUCCACUGACAGAUGAAUGGAUAAAGAAGAUGUAGUAUAUACACACAAUGGAAUAUUAUUCAGCCAUACAAAGAUGGAUAUCCUGCCUUUUGUGACAACAUGGAUGAACCUAGAGGGCAUUAUGCUGCGUGAAACAAGUCACAGAGAGAAAGAUCCUAGCAGAAUCUGGGACCAGCAGUCAUGCUUCUGAAAUCAUGGAUGGGUAAACGGAAUGAAAGGACAUAUUGACUAUUCUGAAGCCUCAGUAUGCUAGUAACCCUGUAGGAAUAAUACUG